CCUACGGGAGGCAGCAGUGAGGAAUAUUGGUCAAUGGACGAGAGUCUGAACCAGCCAAGUAGCGUGAAGGAUGACUGCCCUAUGGGUUGUAAACUUCUUUUAUAUGGGAAUAAAAUGUUCCACGUGUGGGAUUUUGUAUGUACCAUAGGAAUAAGGAUCGGCUAACUCCGUGCCAGCAGCCGCGGUAAUACGGAGGGUCCGAGCGUUAUCCGGAUUUAUUGGGUUUAACGGGAGCGUAGGUGGAUUGUUAAGUCAGUUGUGAAAGUUUGCGGCUCAACCGUAAAAGUGCAGUUGAAACUGACAGUCUUGAGUGCAGGAGAGGUGGGCGGAAUUCGUGGUGUAGCGGUGAAAUGCUUAGAUAUCACGAAGAACUCCGAUUGCGAAGGCAGUUCACUGGACUGCAACUGACACUGAGGCUCGAAAGCGUGGGUAUCAAACAGGAUUAGAUACCCGGGUAGUC
This 460-nucleotide ribosomal RNA is filed under the name uncultured bacterium. RNAcentral describes it as "partial 16S ribosomal RNA". It matches the Rfam family "Bacterial small subunit ribosomal RNA", at positions 338 to 795 of the family's 1533-position model. The record is from RNAcentral.